Molecule: ribosomal RNA, 255 nt
Filed under: uncultured bacterium
Lineage: Bacteria
Description: partial 16S ribosomal RNA
Rfam family: Bacterial small subunit ribosomal RNA
Source: RNAcentral
UACGUAGGGUGCAAGCGUUAUCCGGAAUUAUUGGGCGUAAAGAGCUCGUAGGCGGUUUGUCGCGUCUGCCGUGAAAGUCCGGGGCUCAACUCCGGAUCUGCGGUGGGUACGGGCAGACUAGAGUGCAGUAGGGGAGACUGGAAUUCCUGGUGUAGCGGUGAAAUGCGCAGAUAUCAGGAGGAACACCGAUGGCGAAGGCAGGUCUCUGGGCUGUAACUGACGCUGGAGGAGCGAAAAGCAUGGGGAGCGAACAGG